RNAcentral lists this ribosomal RNA (253 nucleotides) under uncultured bacterium. RNAcentral's name for it is "partial 16S ribosomal RNA". It matches the Rfam family "Bacterial small subunit ribosomal RNA", at positions 524 to 776 of the family's 1533-position model. The record is from RNAcentral.
UACGAAGGGGGCUAGCGUUGUUCGGAAUUACUGGGCGUAAAGCGCACGUAGGCUGAUUGUUAAGUUAGGGGUGAAAUCCCGAGGCUCAACCUCGGAACUGCCCUUGAUACUGGCGAUCUAGAGUCCGGAAGAGGUUAGUGGAAUUCCCAGUGUAGAGGUGAAAUUCGUAGAUAUUGGGAAGAACACCAGUGGCGAAGGCGGCUAACUGGUCCGGAACUGACGCUGAGGUGCGAAAGCGUGGGGAGCAAACAGG